RNAcentral lists this long non-coding RNA (2719 nucleotides) under Vitis vinifera (wine grape). RNAcentral's name for it is "long non-coding RNA (VVIN_LNC000372)". Lineage: Eukaryota; Viridiplantae; Streptophyta; Magnoliopsida; Vitales; Vitaceae. The record is from RNAcentral.
GUUUUGUGACACCUACAAUAUGUUUUGUAUUCUUUAUUGUGUCCUAACCCCAUUUCAUGAUAACACACUAUUACUUGCUAUGUAUUAAAUCACAUAAUAUAGAUUCAAACAAUGAACAAAAUAAUAAUGAACUAGAUAAUCAAAUAGGAAAUAUAGAACUCAACGGAGUUUAAAUAAAUUUAUUUCCUAUUUUUAGGUUUUCUGAGCAUGAGAUGUACUCAGAGUGUAGUAUAUGUUUUGAUGCGUUUGCAGAUGGGGAUGAGAUUAUUAUCCUCCCAGUCUGUAGGCACAUUUAUCGUAAUCAUUGUAUUACUCCUUGGUUUACAUCUCAUUCUAACUGUCCACUUUGUCGUUAUAACUAUAGUGGUUAUAGUUUAGAUGAUUAGAUUUUAUUGUACACAAUUUGAAUUUACAUUGUUCCUACUUCCUUUGAAUUAUAUGUAAUAAAUUUUUUAUAUUUGAAUAUUUUUCUUCAAGUUGGGAAGGAAUGUUAUGCUUAAUUUAUAAAAUCUUUAACAUAUUUUAUUGAUAUAAAUAAACAUCGGGACAUGAGUAUGGGAACGCAUCAUGCAAAAUGCGGGGUCCACGAUAUCCCAAUUAGAAUUUCAUGGAGAGCACAAUAUCGUCAGAUGAGGACUUUUUAUUACCUUUUAGAGAGCACGUCCAUUCAUUUUUUGUGGGGAUCUCCUAUUAAGAGGAGGGAGAAGGGAGGGGAAGAAAAAGAAAAGAAUCGGAGAAGGGAGGUGGUUGAUCUUGGAAGCUAAGGGAAAUGAGGGAUUUGCUUGAAGCUAAGCACAUAUUGCUUGAGUGGAGAUUACCCAAGUAUGGUUACUAUGUCUUCAAUGUUUCCAUUAAAACCUUGUUCUUCUUCUCUGUUUGUCUUCUCUUCACUACCCUUUGUUGUUGCGCAUGGGUAGGCUUGAUAUGUAUAUAAAAGUUGUUUCUGGUAAUAGAGAUUUUCAUCACUGAAUGAACCCAUUUUAAAAGAAAUUUUCUGUCGGAUGAGGACUUUUUAUUUCCUUUUAGAGAGCACAUCCAUUCAUUUUUUGUGGGGCUCUCCUAUUAGAGGAGGGAGAAGGGAGGGAAAGAAAAAGAAAAGAAUCGGAGAAGGGAGGUUGUUGAUCUUGGAAGCUAAGGGAAAUGAGGGAUUUGCUUGAUGCUAAACACAUAUUGCUUGAGUGGAGAUUACCCAGGUAUGGUUACUAUGUCUUCAAUGUUUCCAUUAAAUCCUUGUUCUUCUCUGUUUAUCUUCUCUUCGCUGCCCUUUGUUGCGCAUGCAUUCAUUUUUUGUGGGGAUCUCCUAUUAGAGGAGGGAGAAGAGAGGGGAAGAAAAAGAAAAGAAUCGGAGAAGGGAGGUUGUUGAUCUUGGAAGCUAAGGGAAAUGAGGGAUUUGCUUGAAGCUAAGCACAUAUUGCUUGAGUGGAGAUUACCCAUGGUUACUAUGCUUUCAAUGUUUCCAUUAAAACCUUGUUCUUCUCUGUUUAUCUUCUCUUCAUUGCCCUUUGUUGGGCAUGCAUUGAUUUUUACUGGGGAUCUCCUAUUAGAGGAGGGAGAAGGGAGGGGAAGAAAAAGAAAAGAAUCAGAGAAGGGAGGUUGUUGAUCUUGGAAGCUAAGGGAAACGAGGGAUUUGCUUGAUGCUAAGCACAUAUUGCUUGAGUGGAGAUUACCCAGGUAUGGUUACUAUGUUUUCAAUGUUUCCAUUAAAACCUUGUUCUUCUCUGUUUAUCUUCUCUUCACUGCCCUUUGUUGGGCAUGCAUUGAUUUUUACUGGGGAUCUCCUAUUAGAGGAGGGAGAAGGGAGGGGAAGAAAAAGAAAAGAAUCGGAGAAGGGAGGUUGUUGAUCUUGGAAGCUAAGGGAAAUGAGGGAUUUGCUUGAUGCUAAGCACAUAUUGCUUGAGUGGAGAUUACCCAGGUAUGGUUACUAUGUCUUCAAUGUUUCCAUUAAAACCUUGUUCUUCUCUUUUUAUCUUCUCUUCACUGCCCUUUGUUGCGCAUGCGUUCAUUUUUUGUGGGGGUCUCCUAUUAGAGGAGGGAGAAGGGAGGGGAAGAAAAAGAAAAGAAUCGGAGAAGGGAGGUUGUUGAUCUUGGAAGCUAAGGGAAAUGAGGGAUUUGCUUGAUGCUAAGCACAUAUUGCUUGAGUGGAGAUUACCCAGGUAUGGUUACUAUGUCUUCAAUGUUUCCAUUAAAACCUUGUUCUUCUCUUUUUAUCUUCUCUUCACUGCCCUUUGUUGCGCAUGCGUUCAUUUUUUGUGGGGAUCUCCUAUUAGAGGAGGGAGAAGGGAGGGGAAGAAAAAGAAAAGAAUCGGAGAAGGGAGGUUGUUGAUCUUGGAAGCUAAGGGAAAUGAGGGAUUUGCUCGAUGCUAAGCACAUAUUUGCUUGAGUGGAGAUUACCCAGGUAUGGUUACUAUGUCUUCAAUGUUUCCAUUAAAACCUUGUUCUUCUCUGUUUAUCUUCUCUUCACUGCCCUUUGUUGCACAUGGGUCGGCAAGCUCUGCAACUUAUUGCUCCUAUUCUUCUUCGCUGGUGUCUCUCUUGUUGAGCCUCGGACUUUGCAGUUUUGUUUGGAGUCCUACUGGUGUUUAGUCGUUUUUGUUCAUUAUUUAGCAUUCAGCUCUUGCUCGUGUAUUUGAGCAUAAGAAUGUCUGUUUCUUGGGUAUGUUGUAAACAGUGUUUGAAAUAUAUUUUUCUCUGAAAUUUCGGUAAUCGGCCGGCUCCCGUC